AUAGAAAACUAGAGCGUGACUGCCACAUUUGAAUAUGAAAUAGCCAAAGAUUUCUGUUUCAGACACCUUAUACAUUGUGCAAACAAAGCCACCAAUUCCAGGGAAAAAAGACGAGUGAAUUUAAAGCAGGUCUUUGUCGUUGUUUAUAACUGCGUUGUCUUUGUUCCCAUUUUUCCUCUGCAGGCAAAAGAAUGGGCUGUAAUAUUAUGACUUGUGCUGGUUCCCCAGCGCUU
Molecule: long non-coding RNA, 233 nt
Organism: Cyprinus carpio carpio
Lineage: Eukaryota; Metazoa; Chordata; Actinopteri; Cypriniformes; Cyprinidae
Source: Ensembl